This 313-nucleotide RNase P RNA is filed under the name Plesiomonas shigelloides. RNAcentral's name for it is "RNase P RNA component class A". It matches the Rfam family "Bacterial RNase P class A", at positions 37 to 312 of the family's 367-position model. Rfam says of the family: Ribonuclease P (RNase P) is a ubiquitous endoribonuclease, found in archaea, bacteria and eukarya as well as chloroplasts and mitochondria. Its best characterised activity is the generation of mature 5'-ends of tRNAs by cleaving the 5'-leader elements of precursor-tRNAs. The record is from RNAcentral. Lineage: Bacteria; Pseudomonadati; Pseudomonadota; Gammaproteobacteria; Enterobacterales; Enterobacteriaceae.
CGGUCCGAGGAAAGUCCGGACUCCACAGAGCAGGGUGGUUGUUAACAGCAACCCGGGGUGACCCGCGGGACAGUGCCACAGAAAACAGACCGCCGCGCCCGCGAGCGCGGUAAGGGUGAAACGGUGCGGUAAGAGCGCACCAGCGCCCCGGGUGACCGGGGCGGCUAGGUAAACCCCACCCGGAGCAAGGUCGAAGGCCGCACCGCCCGCGGUGCGGCUGCGCGGAUGGAGUGCAGAGAUGCACGAGAGGGCUGCUCGCCCGAGUCCGCGGGUGGACCGCUCGAGGUACCCGGCGACGGUGUGCCCAGAUGGA